CACAGUGUAGCAAUACAUGGGUGGCGACCGGCAAACGGGUGCGGAACACGUACGCAACCUUCCUUCAGGCGGGGAAUAGCCCAGAGAAAUUUGGAUUAAUACCCCAUAAUAUUUUGAGAUGGCAUCAUCUUAUUAUUAAAGCUACGGCACCUGGAGAUGGGCGUGCGGCUGAUUAGGUAGUUGGCGGGGUAAUGGCCCACCAAGCCUACGAUCAGUAGCUGAUGUGAGAGCAUGAUCAGCCACACGGGCACUGAGACACGGGCCCGACUCCUACGGGAGGCAGCAGUAAGGAAUAUUGGUCAAUGGACGCAAGUCUGAACCAGCCAUGCCGCGUGGAGGAUGAAGGUCCUCUGGAUUGUAAACUUCUUUUAUCUGGGACGAAAAAAGGGUUUUCUAACUCGUCUGACGGUACCAGAUGAAUAAGCACCGGCUAACUCCGUGCCAGCAGCCGCGGUAAUACGGAGGGUGCAAGCGUUAUCCGGAUUCACUGGGUUUAAAGGGUGCGUAGGCGGGCAUUUAAGUCAGUGGUGAAAUACCUGAGCUUAACUUGGGAACUGCCAUUGAUACUAUUUGUCUUGAAUGUCGUGGAGGUUAGCGGAAUAUGUCAUGUAGCGGUGAAAUGCUUAGAUAUGACAUAGAACACCUAUUGCGAAGGCAGCUAACUACGCGAAUAUUGACGCUGAGGCACGAAAGCGUGGGGAUCAAACAGGAUUAGAUACCCUGGUAGUCCACGCCCUAAACGAUGAUUACUCGACAUUAGCGAUACACUGUUAGUGUCUGAGAG
RNAcentral lists this ribosomal RNA (784 nucleotides) under uncultured bacterium. RNAcentral's name for it is "SSU rRNA". It matches the Rfam family "Bacterial small subunit ribosomal RNA", at positions 70 to 853 of the family's 1533-position model. The record is from RNAcentral.